UACGUAGGGUGCGAGCGUUAAUCGGAAUUACUGGGCGUAAAGCGUGCGCAGGCGGUUAUGCAAGACAGAUGUGAAAUCCCCGGGCUUAACCUGGGAACCGCAUUUGUGACUGCAUAGCUGGAGUACGGCAGAGGGGGAUGGAAUUCCGCGUGUAGCAGUGAAAUGCGUAGAUAUGCGGAGGAACACCGAUGGCGAAGGCAAUCCCCUGGGCCUGCACUGACGCUCAUGCACGAAAGCGUGGGGAGCAAACAGG
RNAcentral lists this ribosomal RNA (253 nucleotides) under uncultured bacterium. Its description in RNAcentral is "partial 16S ribosomal RNA". It matches the Rfam family "Bacterial small subunit ribosomal RNA", at positions 524 to 776 of the family's 1533-position model. The record is from RNAcentral.